GACGAACGCUGGCGGCGUGCUUAACACAUGCAAGUCGAACGGUGAAGCUCCAGCUUGCUGGAGUGGAUCAGUGGCGAACGGGUGAGUAACACGUGAGCAACCUGCCCCUGACUCUGGAAUAAGCGCUGGAAACGGCGUCUAAUACUGGAUACGAGAAGGGUCCGCAUGGGCACUUUCUGGAAAGUUUUUCGGUUGGGGAUGGGCUCGCGGCCUAUCAGCUUGUUGGUGAGGUAAUGGCUCACCAAGGCGACGACGGGUAGCCGGCCUGAGAGGGCGACCGGCCACACUGGGACUGGGACACGGGCCAGAAUUCUACGGGAGGGAAGAGUGGGGAAUAUUGCACAAUGGGCGAAAGCCUGAUGCAGCGACGCCGCGUGAGGGAUGACGGCCUUCGGGUUGUAAACCUCUUUCAGCAGGGAAGAAGCGAAAGUGACGGUACCUGCAGAAGAAGCACCGGCUAACUACGUG
This 468-nucleotide ribosomal RNA is filed under the name uncultured bacterium. RNAcentral's name for it is "partial 16S ribosomal RNA". It matches the Rfam family "Bacterial small subunit ribosomal RNA", at positions 28 to 507 of the family's 1533-position model. The record is from RNAcentral.